UACAGUAUUUGAGUCAUGUCAUUCUAUUCCAAUUUUUUAUUUCAUUUCAUCCAUAUCUCUGUUUUGCAUUUGUUUAUAUUUGUUAUUCUCAUAAUGUUUUCUAAGUUUAUUUAAGUUUAUCUUUAAAAACUCAAAAUUAAUAAAUAGGCAAAUUGUUUUGUUGUUGCUUUAUGCAUUCUAGUAGUGUGGUGGAGGUGUUGAGUGGGAAUCAAAGGUGAUUGAGACCGUAAUUACUUGUGAUAGUGCUUCAUCGUACUGAGCUUUCAUGAUUGGAUUAUCGCAUAGCGAUAAAGAUAGAGACCGAAUAACUGUGAAAAUUCGUAACAUGAAAAGAAGUUUGUCGAGGGAUAGUAUGCGUACGCGUAGUAGCAUAGGCAGGUGUGACAACAGCUCAGAUGAGCGAGUGACUCCGGAUCGAGUGCGGCGUAGAGUCCGCUCGCCGAGCCCUAGAGGCAGGUACGUAUCACCGCACCGAGAUGAUUAUGUCCGUUCACGUGCAAUAAGAGAAAAGGAAGAGUCUCUGCGUUCCUAUUACAAGGUUCUCUGUGUCAGUGCUCUUCACCCAAAGGCAUCUGAUGAAAUAAUCAAAGAUACUUUGUACAGAGAAUAUAAGAAAUUUGGAGAUUUCAAUAUCAAGAUUUCACAUGAAUUAGAUGAACGUGUUGCAUAUGUUUGCUUUCGCAGUGCUGAAGAUGCUAGAGAUGCUAAACAUGCAAAGCCAAGAAUUAUUUUGUAUGAUAAAGUAGCAAUAGUCGACCCUGUUUAUGAACCAGUCAGGUCAGAGUACCGAAGCAGACCACGCAGUAUUACUCCUCCAGAUUAUGAUCGCCAAUACUCUUAUGCUUGGUCUUCAGUCUCAGAUAGGCGUCGACCACCUCCAGAUGAUAGAGUAUAUGGUAUACCUCCAAGUAUCCCACCUCAUCAUAGGGAUUUUCGACCUCCAAUGCAUGAAUAUCCAAUGUCAGGCCAUCAUGGGCCCCCAAUACAUCAUAGACCACCUGUGCAUCAUCCUCCAUAUCCACAUUAUAUGCCACGCCCAUACAUGCCUCGCCCCCAUCAUGCACAUUUUGAAAAAAUGGAGAAUAAAAAAGAUAAAUUCCCAAACUACUUACACCAUGUACAGCCAGAGGAUGACCCACUAGCUACUCGCACACUUUUUGCUGGAAAUUUAGAAAUUUACAUUUCAGAUGAGGAGCUUCGAUCUAUAUUCAGUCGCUAUGGUAUUGUUGAGGAUAUUGAUAUAAAAAGACCACCACUAGGGACAGGCAAUGCAUUUGCAUUUGUACGGUAUCAAACAUUAGACAUGGCUCAUCGGGCUAAGGUGGAACUUUCUGGUCAAUACAUUGGUAAAUUUCAAUGUAAGAUAGGUUAUGGGAAGGCUACACCUACUACACGUGUAUGGGUGGGUGGCCUUGGGCAUUGGACAUCAGUGGAACAAUUAGAAAGGGAAUUUGAUAGAUUUGGGGCUAUUAAAAAAAUAGAGUUUACAAAAGGUGAAGCUCAUGCAUACAUUUUGUAUGAUUCAAUAGAUGCUGCUCAAGCUGCUGUAAAAGAAAUGAGAGGAUUUGCCCUUGGUGGACCUGAUAGGCGUCUUCGUAUUGACUUUGCUGAUGCAGGAAAUGGUGCACCACAUAGACCUAAGCAAUAUGCACCUGUAGGUGAAAAUGGCAAGUCAGUUGAAGGGUAUGAGGGUACAUGGGAGGAUGGGUAUAGUUAUAGUGCAGGUUACAGGGGUAGGGGUGGUCAUAGAGGCCGUGGACGUGGCAUGUACAGGGGUAUGUAUCAUGGAACUUCUGAUUACCGUGAUGAAGAAUGGAGAAGGCCUCCAGUUGACAGUGAAUAUGGGAGUCGUGUACAUAGAUCUGGAUCAAGAGAACCUGGAGUGGAUCGGUCUCGGUCGCGAUCAUCUCGUCGCCGAUCACCCGGCAGUGACUCUGAUGGCUCACCCAGGAGAAAUGGUGGUAUGUUGGCUUCUGCCAGAACACUUCCAGAAGUGGUCCGUAAAGCAACAACUGUAUGGAAUGGAGCCCUAAUACUUAAAAAUUCUAUAUUCCCAACUAAAUUCCAUCUAACAGAUGGAGAUUCGGAAAUUAUUGACAGUCUCAUGAAAGAUGAGAAUGGUAAAAAUCAAUUGAGAAUUACACAAAGACUGCGACUUGACCAGCCCAAACUGGAUGAUGUACAGAAGCGCAUAGCCACAUCGAGUUCACAUGCAAUAUUCUUAGGAGUGACUGGCUCAACGGCAUCCAUUACAAACGAGGAUACAUCCAUUCAAACCAGACCCAUGAAGAAUCUGGUGUCGUAUAUGAAACAGAAAGAAGCAGCUGGAGUGAUAUCCCUCUUGAAUAAAGAGACGGAGGCCACAGGAGUUUUGUACUCAUUCCCUCCAUGUGAGUUUUCAACUGAACUAUUAAAACGGACAUGUCACAAUUUGACUGAAGAAAGUCUAAAGGAGGAUCAUUUGGUUAUAGUGGUUGUGCGAGGUGGUUCAGCAUAAUUUGCUAUUUGUUAUCAAUUAUGUAAUUAAAAUAAAUUUCUUUAAUUUUUUUUAAUUGUCUACAGAAUACUUCAGGUAAUUAUGGUAAUUGUGAAUGUGUAGUGAUGUGAAUAAGUGCUGUACUCACAUUAUAGUAAUGUGUGUGCAAGUGCUGUAUUUACUCACAGUUUCUAAUGAUCAACAUUAGGAGCAUAUUGUUAUUGAAAAUAAUACAAUUGGUUAGUUUCUGCUAGUAUUAAUUAUUGUUUAUUAAAAUUGCAUAAGUGUGUAUUUUUCAUUAUGAUUAUAAAAGUGUAUGUAGUGAUAGGUGAUGUGUAGUGAGUGUGUAUUUAUUAAUAGAAUAUUUCAUUUUAUGUUGUAGUUUUUUUAAACCUGGUGGAUUUGUGCGGUGUAUGAUGAACAGUGGCUCAAAUUUGUGACACCAAAGAAGUGUAUUACUUGUUUGGAAGUGAUACAAUUGCCUAAUUUCCAACUUUCAGGUGAGAUUGCCAAGUGGUCGACCUAUAUGAUAGCAGUGGGACCGCAAAUUCGAUUUGCCCCCAGCUUGCACAGAAUUGACUAAUUCAAGCUGUUCAGGACCUUUUUUUACGGCGAAACAUAAGCGACACCUACAUGCACAAGAUGAAUAAAGAUGUAAAAUUAUUGUAAUAUGUAAGUAUGUACAAUUACAUAGUAUAUAUCAUUCGCCUCACAUAGUCUGUUUUAGAAGUAGAUAUUUGUGCAGUUUUGUAUUUUCAGUCGGGAAAAUGUCUAAUUCUUGUAGAGGCUUCCAUGAGUAACAUCCCAUUUUUUGGUUUCAACAGUUUUGAAAUAUUUAUUGCUACAUUUUAUUUAUUUAUUGCAUGUCACAUAGGUAACAUAAAACCCAGUUCGGGCAUUGCAAUUAAUGGUAGCUACAUAAAAUUUUAUACAAUUACAAACAUUCAAUCAGUAAUUUCUUUCUAUAGUCAUAUAGAAGUAUCAAUUGUUUUCUUUACUAUUAUCCUGAUUGUUAAAUUACUAGAUAGUUCCAAGUAACUAGUUUAUAGGUUAUACGUAACGAAUCUGAUAUCUGUGAUAACUAUUACUGGCCAUGUAAUUUCUACUUAAUCAAUAAAGUACAUAUUUAUUUA
This is an RNA transcript of Galleria mellonella (greater wax moth), 3609 nucleotides long. It is a transcript of the gene named RNA-binding protein spenito-like, with no coding region annotated. The record is from RefSeq and is a predicted model, not a curated record. The transcript has 3 exons. NCBI's taxonomy places the organism in Eukaryota, Metazoa, Arthropoda, Insecta, Lepidoptera, Pyralidae.